This 77-nucleotide transfer RNA is filed under the name Chitinibacter fontanus. Its description in RNAcentral is "tRNA-Arg". It matches the Rfam family "tRNA". From Rfam's summary of the family: Transfer RNA (tRNA) molecules are approximately 80 nucleotides in length. Their secondary structure includes four short double-helical elements and three loops (D, anti-codon, and T loops). RNAcentral also lists the same sequence under 3 other names. Lineage: Bacteria; Pseudomonadati; Pseudomonadota; Betaproteobacteria; Neisseriales; Chitinibacteraceae. The record is from RNAcentral.
GCGUCCAUAGCUCAGUUGGAUAGAGUGUCAGUUUCCGAAGCUGAAGGUCGCAGGUUCGAUUCCUGCUGGACGCGCCA